This 2903-nucleotide ribosomal RNA is filed under the name Escherichia coli KTE17. Its description in RNAcentral is "bacterial LSU rRNA". It matches the Rfam family "Bacterial large subunit ribosomal RNA". Lineage: Bacteria; Pseudomonadati; Pseudomonadota; Gammaproteobacteria; Enterobacterales; Enterobacteriaceae. The record is from RNAcentral. RNAcentral also lists the same sequence under 2 other names.
UUAAGCGACUAAGCGUACACGGUGGAUGCCCUGGCAGUCAGAGGCGAUGAAGGACGUGCUAAUCUGCGAUAAGCGUCGGUGAGGUGAUAUGAACCGUUAUAACCGGCGAUUUCCGAAUGGGGAAACCCAGUGUGUUUCGACACACUAUCAUUAACUGAAUCCAUAGGUUAAUGAGGCGAACCGGGGGAACUGAAACAUCUAAGUACCCCGAGGAAAAGAAAUCAACCGAGAUUCCCCCAGUAGCGGCGAGCGAACGGGGAGGAGCCCAGAGCCUGAAUCAGUGUGUGUGUUAGUGGAAGCGUCUGGAAAGGCGCGCGAUACAGGGUGACAGCCCCGUACACAAAAAUGCACAUACUGUGAGCUCGAUGAGUAGGGCGGGACACGUGGUAUCCUGUCUGAAUAUGGGGGGACCAUCCUCCAAGGCUAAAUACUCCUGACUGACCGAUAGUGAACCAGUACCGUGAGGGAAAGGCGAAAAGAACCCCGGCGAGGGGAGUGAAAAAGAACCUGAAACCGUGUACGUACAAGCAGUGGGAGCCUCUUAAUGGGGUGACUGCGUACCUUUUGUAUAAUGGGUCAGCGACUUAUAUUCUGUAGCAAGGUUAACCGAAUAGGGGAGCCGAAGGGAAACCGAGUCUUAACUGGGCGUUAAGUUGCAGGGUAUAGACCCGAAACCCGGUGAUCUAGCUAUGGGCAGGUUGAAGGUUGGGUAACACUAACUGGAGGACCGAACCGACUAAUGUUGAAAAAUUAGCGGAUGACUUGUGGCUGGGGGUGAAAGGCCAAUCAAACCGGGAGAUAGCUGGUUCUCCCCGAAAGCUAUUUAGGUAGCGCCUCGUGAAUUCAUCUCCGGGGGUAGAGCACUGUUUCGGCAAGGGGGUCAUCCCGACUUACCAACCCGAUGCAAACUGCGAAUACCGGAGAAUGUUAUCACGGGAGACACACGGCGGGUGCUAACGUCCGUCGUGAAGAGGGAAACAACCCAGACCGCCAGCUAAGGUCCCAAAGUCAUGGUUAAGUGGGAAACGAUGUGGGAAGGCCCAGACAGCCAGGAUGUUGGCUUAGAAGCAGCCAUCAUUUAAAGAAAGCGUAAUAGCUCACUGGUCGAGUCGGCCUGCGCGGAAGAUGUAACGGGGCUAAACCAUGCACCGAAGCUGCGGCAGCGACGCUUAUGCGUUGUUGGGUAGGGGAGCGUUCUGUAAGCCUGUGAAGGUGGCCUGUGAGGGUUGCUGGAGGUAUCAGAAGUGCGAAUGCUGACAUAAGUAACGAUAAAGCGGGUGAAAAGCCCGCUCGCCGGAAGACCAAGGGUUCCUGUCCAACGUUAAUCGGGGCAGGGUGAGUCGACCCCUAAGGCGAGGCCGAAAGGCGUAGUCGAUGGGAAACAGGUUAAUAUUCCUGUACUUGGUGUUACUGCGAAGGGGGGACGGAGAAGGCUAUGUUGGCCGGGCGACGGUUGUCCCGGUUUAAGCGUGUAGGCUGGUUUUCCAGGCAAAUCCGGAAAAUCAAGGCUGAGGCGUGAUGACGAGGCACUACGGUGCUGAAGCGACAAAUGCCCUGCUUCCAGGAAAAGCCUCUAAGCAUCAGGUAACAUUAAAUCGUACCCCAAACCGACACAGGUGGUCAGGUAGAGAAUACCAAGGCGCUUGAGAGAACUCGGGUGAAGGAACUAGGCAAAAUGGUGCCGUAACUUCGGGAGAAGGCACGCUGAUAUGUAGGUGAAGCGACUUGCUCGUGGAGCUGAAAUCAGUCGAAGAUACCAGCUGGCUGCAACUGUUUAUUAAAAACACAGCACUGUGCAAACACGAAAGUGGACGUAUACGGUGUGACGCCUGCCCGGUGCCGGAAGGUUAAUUGAUGGGGUUAGCGGUAACGCGAAGCUCUUGAUCGAAGCCCCGGUAAACGGCGGCCGUAACUAUAACGGUCCUAAGGUAGCGAAAUUCCUUGUCGGGUAAGUUCCGACCUGCACGAAUGGCGUAAUGAUGGCCAGGCUGUCUCCACCCGAGACUCAGUGAAAUUGAACUCGCUGUGAAGAUGCAGUGUACCCGCGGCAAGACGGAAAGACCCCGUGAACCUUUACUAUAGCUUGACACUGAACAUUGAGCCUUGAUGUGUAGGAUAGGUGGGAGGCUUUGAAGUGUGGACGCCAGUCUGCAUGGAGCCGACCUUGAAAUACCACCCUUUAAUGUUUGAUGUUCUAACGUGGGCCCCUUACCGGGGUUGCGGACAGUGUCUGGUGGGUAGUUUGACUGGGGCGGUCUCCUCCUAAAGAGUAACGGAGGAGCACGAAGGUUGGCUAAUCCUGGUCGGACAUCAGGAGGUUAGUGCAAUGGCAUAAGCCAGCUUGACUGCGAGCGUGACGGCGCGAGCAGGUGCGAAAGCAGGUCAUAGUGAUCCGGUGGUUCUGAAUGGAAGGGCCAUCGCUCAACGGAUAAAAGGUACUCCGGGGAUAACAGGCUGAUACCGCCCAAGAGUUCAUAUCGACGGCGGUGUUUGGCACCUCGAUGUCGGCUCAUCACAUCCUGGGGCUGAAGUAGGUCCCAAGGGUAUGGCUGUUCGCCAUUUAAAGUGGUACGCGAGCUGGGUUUAGAACGUCGUGAGACAGUUCGGUCCCUAUCUGCCGUGGGCGCUGGAGAACUGAGGGGGGCUGCUCCUAGUACGAGAGGACCGGAGUGGACGCAUCACUGGUGUUCGGGUUGUCAUGCCAAUGGCACUGCCCGGUAGCUAAAUGCGGAAGAGAUAAGUGCUGAAAGCAUCUAAGCACGAAACUUGCCCCGAGAUGAGUUCUCCCUGACUCCUUGAGAGUCCUGAAGGAACGUUGAAGACGACGACGUUGAUAGGCCGGGUGUGUAAGCGCAGCGAUGCGUUGAGCUAACCGGUACUAAUGAACCGUGAGGCUUAACCUU